ACUUUAGUCAAUGUGUGGCGUGUAUCUUUGGGCAUAAAAACAUGCAUUGGGUAUAAACACAGGCAUUGACUAGAGUGGCUUCAGAGCUGUAACGCACCACAGACGUGUUCAGUACAAGGGGUCAAAACACAUACCGAAGCCACGAUCUACUCUGUUUGCCGUAGUCGUAAUGUGUCGCAGACGUGUGCAGUGUGUGAUACCGAGGAGGACUCUGAAUCAGACCCAGAACAUCUGAGAGCCUGCCAUAACUUCUUUCUGAAAUCCUUAGACACAUAAUAAAAGAUGAAAGGAUCGAUGCAGCUGUUGAAGGUGCUGAAAGACAAAGCGAUCUGAAGUACGGGAAUUAGGGGAGAGCGGGGAUGGAAGCUACAGUGAUGAUAUUCAUACUGCACACGCUUUAUUGGCCCCUCAUCCUUGGAGGAAAUCAGCCACAUGUAACCAUUCCUUCUACAAAAAAACAUUUUCAUGAUGCUGAGUAGGUAAGACUGGAGUGUCUGCUUCCCUGUUUACAUGGUUCUUUUCUGUAGCCUACUUCAUGUGGGUGUAGUUACGGUCGUUUGAAAUGAUAAUAAUCAUUAAAAAAAU
Labeo rohita (rohu) is the source of this 585-nucleotide long non-coding RNA. RefSeq lists it as uncharacterized. The transcript has 4 exons. The record is from RefSeq and is a predicted model, not a curated record. Lineage: Eukaryota; Metazoa; Chordata; Actinopteri; Cypriniformes; Cyprinidae.